RNAcentral lists this long non-coding RNA (333 nucleotides) under Homo sapiens (human). Its description in RNAcentral is "non-protein coding lnc-PDCD6IP-3:1". Lineage: Eukaryota; Metazoa; Chordata; Mammalia; Primates; Hominidae. The record is from RNAcentral.
UCCAACAGAAACCACAGUGUGCCCAGCAUCCUGGUGCAAUGACAGAAUCUAAUCAAGCAGGACUCACCUGUCCACACUGAAGAGUAUCUAUAGCAGUAUAAUCACCACAAUUCCAAUGUGGAGAUUUUCAAAUACCAACCAAAUAAAUUGAGCAAAGAAUUAGCAGAGCUGGUUCUGUUUAUGGCACAGAUUGUUCACUGCUACCCGGAGCAUCCAAGUAACUUUCCUCAAGAGUGCAAAGAUCUUCUCUCCUACCAUAGCCCUAUCUUGGGUCCAGAUUUUCUAAUGACAUUUUGCAAAACUUUGAUCUUGCUAAGAAGAAUCUCACUAAUC